RNAcentral lists this ribosomal RNA (257 nucleotides) under uncultured bacterium. Its description in RNAcentral is "partial 16S ribosomal RNA". It matches the Rfam family "Bacterial small subunit ribosomal RNA", at positions 524 to 776 of the family's 1533-position model. The record is from RNAcentral.
UACGGUAGGAGACGAGCGUUUGUCCGGAAUUACUAGGGCGUAAACGCGUGGUAGGCGGAUGGGCAAGUCUGCUGUGAAAGCUCCUGGCUUAACCGGGAGUGUCGGUGGAAACUGCCAAUCUGGAGGACGGUAGAGGUAGGUAGAAUUCCCGGUGUAGUGGAUGAAAUGCGUAGAGAUCGGGAGGAAUACCUGUGGCGAAAGGCGGCCUACUGGGCCGGACUGACGCUGAGACGCGAAGGCGUGGGGGAGCGAACGGG